GCGAUCAUACCAGCACUAAUGCACCGGAUCCCAUCAGAACUCCGAAGUUAACCGUUCUUGUGCGAGAGCAGUACUAGGACGGGUGUCCCCUUGGGAAGUUCUCGUGUUGCACCU
RNAcentral lists this ribosomal RNA (114 nucleotides) under Zingiber officinale. The record is from RNAcentral. Lineage: Eukaryota; Viridiplantae; Streptophyta; Magnoliopsida; Zingiberales; Zingiberaceae.